Molecule: ribosomal RNA, 495 nt
Filed under: uncultured bacterium
Lineage: Bacteria
Description: partial 16S ribosomal RNA
Rfam family: Bacterial small subunit ribosomal RNA
Source: RNAcentral
GACGAACGCUGGCGGCGUGCCUAAUACAUGCAAGUAGAACGCUGACGGAGGAGCUUGCUUCUCUGACUGAGUUGCGAACGGGUGAGUAACGCGUAGGUAACCUGCCUGGCAGCGGGGGAUAACUUUAGGAAACGAUAGCUAAUACCGCAUAAGAGUAGACGUUGCAUGACAUUCGCUUAAAAGGUGCAAUUGCAUCACUACCAGAUGGACCUGCGUUGUAUUAGCUAGUUGGGGGGGUAACGGCUUAACAAGGCGACGGUACAUAGCCGGCCUGAGAGGGAGAUUGGCCACAAUGGGACUUGGACACGGCCCAGAACCCUUCGGGGGGCAGCAGGAGGGAAAUAUCGGCAAAGGGGGGAAGGCUGACCGAGGAAAGCCGCGUGAGGGAAGGAGGGUUUCGGGGCGUAAAACUCUGUUUGUAGGGAAGGAAGAGUAGGAGGGUGAAAAGUUCACACUGUGACGGUAUCUAACGAAAAAGCGACGGCUAACUUCGUG